Molecule: non-coding RNA, 71 nt
Organism: Aedes albopictus (Asian tiger mosquito)
Lineage: Eukaryota; Metazoa; Arthropoda; Insecta; Diptera; Culicidae
Source: the annotation of a RefSeq genome assembly
CAUUAGAUGACUGAAAGCAAGUAAUGAACUCUUAAUUCAUAAUAUAGUAACACGAUUAUUACUUCUAAUGA